UACGUAGGGUGCGAGCGUUGUCCGGAAUUACUGGGCGUAAAGAGCUCGUAGGUGGUUUGUUGCGUUGUCCGUGAAAACUCACAACUCAAUUGUGGGCGUGCGGGCGAUACGGGCAGACUGGAGUACUGCAGGGGAGACUGGAAUUCCUGGUGUAGCGGUGGAAUGCGCAGAUAUCAGGAGGAACACCGGUGGCGAAGGCGGGUCUCUGGGCCGUAACUGACGCUGAGGAGCGAAAGCAUGGGGAGCGAACAGGG
This 254-nucleotide ribosomal RNA is filed under the name uncultured bacterium. RNAcentral's name for it is "partial 16S ribosomal RNA". It matches the Rfam family "Bacterial small subunit ribosomal RNA", at positions 524 to 777 of the family's 1533-position model. The record is from RNAcentral.